This is an RNA transcript of Mirounga angustirostris (Northern elephant seal), 6746 nucleotides long. It is a transcript of the gene named signal transducer and activator of transcription 2-like, with no coding region annotated. The transcript has a single exon. The record is from RefSeq and is a predicted model, not a curated record. NCBI's taxonomy places the organism in Eukaryota, Metazoa, Chordata, Mammalia, Carnivora, Phocidae.
CUAACCUGAAGCUACUCAGUUGCUUGGGCCUUGGUUCUCUGGUUCAGUCUGCUCAGCUUAAGCUCUCAGAAUCAGCAGUUUUUUUCUAGGCACCCCCCCCUCCCCCCCCAGCCCUGGCCCACCCAAAGCCCUCCUGGAGCUUGCUGGGCCCUGCUCUCAGUUGGCAGUUCUCCUCCUGUAUUGGCCGAGACCUUGACCUGGAGCAGCUGAGCAUGCUGAAGGACAAGCUGUUGGGGCAGAACUCUAGGAUUGAGGGUACAUUGUUGUCCUGGGCUGACUUCACGAAGCAAGAGAGCCCCCCCACCCCAUGCAAGCUACCAUUCUAGACAUGGUUGCACAAAAAUCUGGACUUGGUACAUGACCACCUGAGGAAUCUGUGGAAUGAUGGCCAUUAUCAUGGGCUUUGUGAGCUGGAGCCAGGAGCACCAGCUGCUGAAGAAGACCCAUCUCUGGAGCCUUUCUGCUACAUUGCAGCAAAUCAUUGGAAGGGGACAUAACCUGCUCCAGGGUGGAACCUCAGGACAGUGAUAAGGUGAUCUACUCUGUGCCGCCCAACAGCAGGGAGGUACUGCAGUCACUCCUGCUGACUGGACUCAUCCAGCACUACCAACUGCUUUCUGAGGGAGAACAUACCUGAGAAUAUGCUGUACUGCCUCUAUCCCUGAAUCCCCUGGAGUGAGGCUUUUGGGUACUACCACCAAGAGAAAGUUAAUCUCCAGGAACAGAGAAAAUACCUGAAACAUAGGCUUCUUGUGCUGUCUGCAGACAGGUGGAUGAGCUGCAACAACCACUGGAGCUUAAGCUGGAGCCAGAAUUGGAUUCAUUAGGGCUGGAGCCCAGGAUGGCAUAAGGGCCAGAGCUAGGCCUGGAGUUAGAGCCACUGCUUGAGGCAGGACUGGAUCUGGAGCCAGCACUAGAGCCCACACUAGGCGUGGUGGCACAGAGAGUGCCAGAGCCAAUCCUGGGACCAGAACUGAAGCUGGAGCCUCUUCUAGAGCCAUUUCCAGGGAACCUCAGGAGACAACUACCGUUGCUCUAUGAUAUGCUUAUAGUGUAACUUGAGAUACAAAUGAAAGUGGGGCCCCUGUGCAUUUUGGUGUUUCCUGGUUAUGUUAGAGCAACAGACUUGUUCAGAAAGAGGCCUUUCUGAACAGAAGUGGCUAAUAAACUUUGUGCUGACCUAGAAAAGAAAACUGUAGAUUUUUUGUUUGCUUAUUUUUAAAUAAAAAAGCCCUGUGCAGUUUAUCUUAGUGUACCCAAUCUUCUUUCAUCUGGUAUUAUGAGGACUUGGCAGUUCUUGACAAGAGAAUAGUCCAUUUCAUGGAGUAGGUGUCUUUCUUCCAUAUUAAAUGUGGUAUUUAUUAAAGUUUAUUUUCCUUUCUUAACCUUCUUGGCGUGAUAAUGGGUUGGUGGAUGUUGAAUGUAAAACAACAAAUACUUAUUAUGACUAUAACUUAAGCAGACACAAAGCUUGAUGAGGAAGGAAGUUCACACCCAGUACUAGGGAAGUUGUGAGAACUCUGACCUGUUAGCGGUAGUCUUGGGGUAAGUGUUACCUGUCCAGCCAUUAGAGAUCCAAGGAGUUCACAUUUAUUAGAAUUGGAAUUUGUAAAUAUUUUUUUUUUCUGUUGAGAUUAUACAUGCAUUUGCAGGGAUUCUCCCAUCUGUAUUUUCUUUUGCACUGAUACGGUUGCACUUACAAUGGCAGCUUUAACUAUAAUUUGACUCUUUACAGCCUACGUAGGAAAUAAAAACAAUUUUUAGUUUUAUCUUUAUUCUUAAAGCUUUUCAUUUAUUAUUCCUUGAAUAGUUAAUUGUAAGGUAAAUUGAAAAAUAUAUUAAAACUGAGUGGAACAUAAGCUUACUGAUAACCUUGCCCCAAUCCUGUUUUUUUAGCAGCUGUCUUUGGUUUAAUGACACUGAUCUAGAAAUUUUUAAGCAUCUUUGGUAAACCUUUCCUAUGCAAAGCAUCAAAUGCUAUGAAUCAGUAGUUAUGAAACCUCAGUUGGCAUGGGGACUAGAUGAUAUAAGUUAGUUGUAAUCCAGAAACAUUAUCAAGGUUUAUUCUGAAUGCAGUAUUUUCAUAGAUUGCCCUUGACAUUAGCAAGACUAACCUCACCUAUACUGAAAAUUAAUAUUUAGUGCUCUUUAAUGGUGGUGGCUGAGAACCUGAACUGAGGUAAAGACACUGCAAUUCUUCCUCUGUAAUGUCUUGCUUUCAUUCUUUUGUUUCCAUUAUUUCUGUUUCCUCUCACCUUUAAGCCUUUAUUCUCGUAAGAAUAGCGCAAGUUUGGGGAAGAUGGUGGAGUAGGGAGCACCAGGAAUCUGUCUCCCCACCUGGACAACAAUCGCACUGGCAGAAUCUGUCUGAUGUAGCUAUUUUUGGAACUCUGAAAUCUGUUGAAGGCUUGCAAAUUCCAUGGAAAGACUUGGGUUAAUUUUGGUCAAUUUCAGCUCUUAGGCCAAGCCAGUGGCAGGCAGCUGUGCACAUGUUCCUGGAGUAGCUUGCACUUAGCUUGCAGAAGCCAGGGUGGGCAAAAAGGCCCUGGCUUUCAUAUAUUGAGGAUCUUUGUUCUAAUUGCUGAUUACUGCUUCUGAUCACAGAGGUGCAGACAAAGAAGCAGGCAACCAUUGUUCCAAGCCCCUCCCCCUCUGGCUGAAAUGAUACCCAGGGGAUUUAAAGGACUAGUGUCCUUCCCCUCUUUUCCCCUUUCAGUUUUUCCUUUUCCUCCUUUUGGGUGCUAGAUAUUAAAGACUAGGAAAUUCAAAAACAACUGCAUAUUGGGAGAAAUGUAGGGUUUGUGCAUGGCCAGAAAAAGGCUCAGAAAAGACCUGAGAAUAAAUUUAUACCUAGGGCUGAUCUUUCGCACAGAGACAGCCUGCAAAAAAGCAAACAGUGAGAAGGGGGAGAAUCUGAUUUCUAAAGGUACUACGUUACUAGACUCAAAGGGCCAGUGUUCAGUAAAAAAUCACAGUUAUGUAUAUAAAAGAAAAAGAAAAGUAUGGCUCAUUCAAAAGAAAGAAUGAUCAACAGAAACUGUCCCUGAAAAAAAACGCCAAUGGCAGAUAUAGUAGACAAAGACUUUAAAAAAAACUCUUUUAAAGAUUCCUAAGGAACUAAAAGAAGAUGUGGAGAAAGUAAGACAAAGUAUGAACAAAAGGGAAAUAUCAAUUUUAAAAAGUACGAAAGCAAAAAGAAAUACAGUAAUUUAAAUGAAAAAUUCACUAGAGGAUUCAAAGGCAGAUUUGAUUAGGUAGAAGAAUCUGUGAACUUGAAGAAAAGACAAUGGAAAUAUUAUAAUGAGUUUGAGGAACACAAAGAGAAAAGACUGAAGAAAAGCAAACAGAGCCUAAGGGACUUGUGGGACACCAUCAAGUAGAACAGUGUAUGUAUUGUCAGAGUUCCAGAAGGAGAAGAGAGAGAGAUGCAGAGAGAAUAUUUGAAGGAAAAAAAAAAAAAAAGGCUGAAAAAUUCCCAAAUUCAAUGAAAGAAAUGAAUAUAAACAUGGGACAACCUUAAGGAACUCUAGUUAAAAUGAACUCAGACAAACAUUGACACACUUAUCAAACCAAAAUCAAGUCAAAAUUUCAUAAUCAAAAAUAAAAUCAAAGUCAAAUCAAAAUUUUAUUAAAAUGCCAAAGACAAGGAGAAUCUUGAAAGCAGCAGGAGAUGUGAAUCAUCGUGUAGAAGGAAUCUUUAAUAAGAUUAUCAGCGUAUUUCUCAUGAGAAACUUUGGAGGCCAGAAGACAGUGGGCCAAUAUAUUCAGAGUGCUAAGAGACAAAAACUAUUAACCAAGAAUUCUCUAUCCAGCAAAACUUUCCUUAAAGAGUGAGGGAGAAAUUAAAACAUUCCCAGAUUAACAAAAACUGAGGGAGUUGGUGAUCUCUAGACCUGCCCUGCAAGAAAUUUGCUCAAGGGAGUCCUGCAAGGUGAAAUGAAAGAACACUAGUAAAGGUAAAUGGGCAAAUAUAAAAACUAGUGUGAUUGUAACAAUGGUUUGUAACUAUACUUUUUGUUUCCUACAUGAUUUAAGAGACCAGUAUAUUUAAGGUUCAAUAUAUUAGUGUAAAAGCUAAAAGGGGUUGGGAUUGAGCUGUAAAGGAACAUAGUUUUUGUAUGUUACUGAAAUCAAGUUGAUAUAAAUUUUGAGUAUUAUAAUUUUAGGAUCCUAGUUAAAUAUAAUUCCCAUGAUAACAAGGAAAGUAACUCUAAGAUAUACACAAAAGGAGAUGAGAAAGGAAUUUAAACAUUUCACUAGAAAAAUGUCAGCUAAACACAGAAGAUACUAAUGCAGGAAUUUGAUGGGGGGAAAGCUAUAAGGCAUGUAGAAAACAAAUGGCAUAAAGGGCAUAAUCACUACUUCCUUAUCAGUAAUUACUUUACAUGUAAAUGGGUUCAACUCUAAUGAAAAGACAGAUUGGAAGAAUGGAUAAAAAUACAUGAUCCAACUAUAUGCUAUCUACAAGAGACUCAUAUUAGAACCAGAGACACAAACAGGUUGAAAAUGAAAGGAUGGGAAAAGAUAAUCCAUGAAAAUAGUACACAAAAGAGAUCAGGGGUGGCUAUUCUACUAUCAAACAAAAUAGACUUUAAAUCAAGAGAGACAAAGGACAUUGUAUAUGAAUUCAGCAAGAAGAUAGAACAUUUAAACCUUUAUGCACCUAAUGACAGAUCAUCAAAAUAUAUGAAGCAAAAACUCACAGAAUUGAAGGGAGAAAUAGUUCUACAUUAAUAGGUGAAGACUUCAAUACCCCACUCACAAUAAUGGAUAUAAUAACCAGAUAGAAGAUCAGUAAGGAGAGAAUUUAUUUUUUUUAAAUACUUUUUAUUAAUUUAUUUGAGAGAGAGCACACAAGCAGAGGGAGAGUCAGAGGGAGAUGGAGAAGCAGACUCCCCACUGAGCAGGGAGCCUGACGUGGGGCUCUAUCCUGGGACUCCAGGAUCAUGACCUGAGCCAAAGGCAGACGCUUAACCAACUGAGCCACCCAGGUGCCCUAGUAAGAGAAUUUAAACAUAACUCAGCUGAAUCUGACAGACACCUACAGAACACUCUCCCCAACAACAGAAUACACAUCAUUCUCAAGUUUAUGUGAACAUUUUCCAGGAUAAGAUUAUAUGUUAGGCCACAAAUCAGUAAAUUUAAAAAUCUAGAUACCAUAGUGGGUAUCUUCUCACCGUGGUGGGAUAAAGUUAGAAAUCAUUAUCAAAAGGAAGUCUGGAAAAUUCAAAAAAUUGUGGAAAUUAACACUUUUAAACAACUAAUGGAUUAAAGAAAAAAUCACAAGGGAAAUUGGAAAGUACUUAGAAAUGAAUGAAAAUGAAAAAACAUUAAAACUUAUGGGAAAUUAAGGGGAUGUGAAGGGGGAAAUUUAUAGCUAUAAAUGCUUAUAUUAAAAAACAAAGACCCAGAGUCAGCAACCUUACUUUACAACUUAAGGAAAUAGAAAAAUUAAAAAAAAAAAAAAAAAGGAACAAACUAGACCCAAAGCUUGCAGCAGGAAGUAAAGAUUAAAGCAGAGAAAGAUGAAAUAGCAAAUAGAAAAACAGUAGAGAAAAACAAUGAAACUAAAAGUUGGUUCUUUGAGAAGAUGAACAAAAUUGACAAACCUUUAGUUAGAUGUAGACUAUGAAAAACCACAGAAAAGCCUUAAAUUACUAAAAUCAGAAAUAAAAGUGGGGACAUUACUGCAGAUUCUACAGAAAUAAAAAGAAUUGUAAGAGAGUACUGUGAACAGUUGUAUGUCAACACACUGGAUAACCUAGAUGAAAUGGACAAAUCCCUAGAAACACAAAACCUACCAAAACUGUAUUAUGAAGAAAUUUUAAAAAUAUGAAUAGAUAUAUAAUUAGUAAGGUUAUCAAAUCACUAAUCAAAAAUUUUUCAACAGGGGCGCCUGGGUGGCUUAGUUGGUUAAGCGACUGCCUUCAGCUCAGGUCAUGAUCCUGGAGUCCCAGGAUCGAGUCCCGCAUCGGGCUCCCUGCUCGGAGGGGAGUCUGCUUCUCCCUCUGACCUUCCUCCCUCUCAUGCUCUCUGUCUCUCAUUCUCUCUGUCUCAAAUAAAUAAAUAAAAUCUUUAAAAAAAAAAUUUUUUUUUCAACAAAAAAUGUGAAUUCUACCAAACAUUUGAAGAGGAACUAAUUAUAGUCUUUCUCAAACUUUUCCAAAAAGUUGAGGAGGAGGGACCACUUCCUAACUCAUUCUAUAAGGCCAGCAUAACUCUGGUACCAGUGCCAAAGACAUUAUACAAACACCACAGACCGAUACCCCUUAUUUACAUUGAUGCAGAAAUGCUCAAAAAAAUGCUAUCAAACAGAAUCCAGCAUAUUAAAAGGGUUACAAACCAUGAUAAAGUAGGGGUAUAUUCCUGGAAUGCAGUGAUGGUUUAACCUAAAAAAUUGAGCACUUUCAUGUGUCAUAUCAACAGAAUGUAGGAUAAAAAACACAUGAUACCUCAGUUGAUGCAUAAAAAGCAUUUGACAAAAUUCAGCACCCUUUCAUGACAAGAACAAUUAACGUAGGAAGGAAACUACCUCAACAUAAUAAAAGCUGUAUAUGAAGAACUCACAGUGAACAUCAUACUCAGUGGUGAAAGACUGAAAGCUUUUCCUCUACAAUGAGGAACAAGGCAAAUGCCCACUUUUAUCACUUCUAUUCAACACAUUAUUGGAUGUUCAAGCCAUAACAAUUAGCCAAGAAAAAGAAGAGACAUCUAAAUAGAAAAAGAAUAAGUAAUAUUAUCUCUUU